AUCCAACAUUAUCCAGGAUUUAUUUUCCCUUUCUGAGAAUUAAGGAACUAAAAAAAGGAAUGAUGGGAUAAAGAGAGUUCAGCAUCCCUCAUUAUUCAGUUAUUUUGGCACAGGUGAGCUCUCCCAUGUCCUUCAGUUUAGGAGAGGUCACAUCCCUCAUUAUACAGAGUUGUUAACCCACAGGUGAGCUCUCCCAUGUCCUUCAGUUUAGGAGAGGUCACAUCCCUCAUUAUACAGAGUUAUGAGCCCACAGGUGAGCUCUCCCAUGUCCUUCAGUUUAGGAGAGGUCACAUCCCUCAUUAUAAAGAGUUGUUAACCCACAGGUGAGCUCCCCCAGGUCCUUCAGUUUAGGAGAGGUCACAUCCCUCAUUUAUACAGAGUUAUGAGCCCACAGGUGAGCUCUCCCAGGUCCUUCAGUUUAGGAGAGGUCACAUCCCUCAUUUAUACAGAGUUAUGAGCCCACAGGUGAGCUCUCCCAUGUCCUUCAGUUUAGGAGAGGUCACAUCCCUCAUUUAUACAGAGUUAUGAGCCCACAGGUGAGCUCUCCCAGGUCCUUCAGUUUAGGAGAGGUCACAUCCCUCAUUAUAAAGAGUUGUUAACCCACAGGUGAGCUCCCCCAGGUCCUUCAGUUUAGGAGAGGUCACAUCCCUCAUUUAUACAGAGUUAUGAGCCCACAGGUGAGCUCCCCCAGGUCCUUCAGUUUAGGAGAGGUCACAUCCCUCAUUUAUACAGAGUUAUGAGCCCACAGGUGAGCUCUCCCAGGUCCUUCAGUUUAGGAGAGGUCACAUCCCUCAUUUAUACAGAGUUAUGAGCCCACAGGUGAGCUCUCCCAGGUCCUUCAGUUUAGGAGAGGUCACAUCCCUCAUUUAUACAGAGUUAUGAGCCCACAGGUGAGCUCUCCCAGGUCCUUCAGUUUAGGAGAGGUCACAUCCCUCAUUUAUACAGAGUUAUGAGCCCAUAGGUGAGCUCUCCCAUGUCCUUCAGUUUAGGAGAGGUCACAUCCCUCAUUUAUACAGAGUUAUGAGCCCACAGGUGAGCUCUCCCAUGUCCUUCAGUUUAGGAGAGGUCACAUCCCUCAUUAUACAGAGUUAUGAGCCCACAGGUGAGCUCUCCCAUGUCCUUCAGUUUAGGAGAGGUCACAUCCCUCAUUAUACAGAGUUAUGAGCCCACAGGUGAGCUCUCCCAGGUCCUUCAGUUUAGGAGAGGUCACAUCCCUCAUUAUACAGAGUUAUGAGCCCACAGGUGAGCUCUCCCACAUCCCUUCGUCUUUUCAUUGAGUCCCAGAGUCAGUUUGGGAACGCAAACUCUUUCUCUGGGAAUCUGGAAUCGGAAUCUGAUUUCAGAACGCUUGGAAUUCCACCAUGUUCCGUUCGGUCCAGGACUCAUAUUUAC
This is a long non-coding RNA of Oncorhynchus keta (chum salmon), 1392 nucleotides long. RefSeq lists it as uncharacterized. The transcript is spliced from 6 exons. Lineage: Eukaryota; Metazoa; Chordata; Actinopteri; Salmoniformes; Salmonidae. The record is from RefSeq and is a predicted model, not a curated record.